GUGGGGAAUAUUGGACAAUGGGCGAAAGCCUGAUCCAGCCAUGCCGCGUGUGUGAAGAAGGUCUUCGGAUUGUAAAGCACUUUAAGUUGGGAGGAAGGGCAGUAAGUUAAUACCUUGCUGUUUUGACGUUACCGACAGAAUAAGCACCGGCUAACUUCGUGCCAGCAGCCGCGGUAAUACGAAGGGUGCAAGCGUUAAUCGGAAUUACUGGGCGUAAAGCGCGCGUAGGUGGUUUUGUAAGUUGGAGGUGAAAUCCCCGGGCUCAACCUGGGAACUGCCUCCAAAACUGCAUGACUAGAGUACGGUAGAGUGUAGUGGAAUUUCCUGUGUAGCGGUGAAAUGCGUAGAUAUAGGAAGGAACACCAGUGGCGAAGGCGACUACCUGGACUGAUACUGACACUGAGGUGCGAAAGCGUGGGGAGCAAACAGGAUUAGAUACCCCUGUAGUCC
This 450-nucleotide ribosomal RNA is filed under the name uncultured bacterium. RNAcentral's name for it is "partial 16S ribosomal RNA". It matches the Rfam family "Bacterial small subunit ribosomal RNA", at positions 354 to 796 of the family's 1533-position model. The record is from RNAcentral.